GAUGAACGCUGGCGGCGUGCCUAAUACAUGCAAGUCGAGCGAACGGACGAGAAGCUUGCUUCUCUGAUGUUAGCGGCGGACGGGUGAGUAACACGUGGAUAACCUACCUAUAAGACUGGGAUAACUUCGGGAAACCGGAGCUAAUACCGGAUAAUAUUUUGAACCGCAUGGUUCAAAAGUGAAAGACGGUCUUGCUGUCACUUAUAGAUGGAUCCGCGCUGCAUUAGCUAGUUGGUAAGGUAACGGCUUACCAAGGCAACGAUGCAUAGCCGAACUGAGAGGGUGAUCGGCCACACUGGAACUGAGACACGGUCAAGACUCCUACGGGAGGCAGCAGUAGGGAAUCUUCCGCAAUGGGCGAAAGCCUGACGGAGCAACGCCGCGUGAGUGAUGAAGGUCUUCGGAUCGUAAAACUCUGUUAUUAGGGAAGAACAUAUGUGUAAGUAACUGUGCACAUCUUGACGGUACCUAAUCAGAAAGCCACGGCUAACUACGUG
This 497-nucleotide ribosomal RNA is filed under the name uncultured bacterium. RNAcentral describes it as "partial 16S ribosomal RNA". It matches the Rfam family "Bacterial small subunit ribosomal RNA", at positions 28 to 507 of the family's 1533-position model. The record is from RNAcentral.